GCUGCAUUAGCACAGUGGUACUGCACCUGCCUUGUAAGCAGGGGAUCGGGGGUUCGAGUCCCUCAUGCAGCA
RNAcentral lists this transfer RNA (72 nucleotides) under Patescibacteria group bacterium. RNAcentral describes it as "tRNA-Thr". It matches the Rfam family "tRNA". Rfam says of the family: Transfer RNA (tRNA) molecules are approximately 80 nucleotides in length. The record is from RNAcentral.